This 2746-nucleotide ribosomal RNA is filed under the name Triticum aestivum (bread wheat). Its description in RNAcentral is "partial small subunit ribosomal RNA". Lineage: Eukaryota; Viridiplantae; Streptophyta; Magnoliopsida; Poales; Poaceae. The record is from RNAcentral.
GUGAAAGGAAAAAAAUAUUAAUCAGCGCAGGAAAUUUCGAGGCAACUUCCUCCAGUAUCGAGCGCAGCGCACGCAACCCACCUCUCUCGUUGUCCCCGCACACGCAACCUCUCGCACCGCACGCCAACGCAGCCGCCGCCUCUUCUCUUCCAUCGUCGUCGUCGCCUCGUCGGAUCUGGGGAGAAAGAGAGUGCGAGUCUCCUACCUCCGCCGCGUCCGCGUCCGCGUCCGCAUCACUCUUCCGCGCCCCGGCGCCGCCGCGUCCGCCACUUCUCCUCGCCUUGUCGUCCCCGUUCCUCUCUCAUAGCCGAGCUCCAGCCCUCCACCAUCCCCUCCUCCUUGACCGCCUCUCCCCUCGUCUGAAGGAGCACGGGGCUGGCAGCUGCGCCUGAGCCGCCACAAGGCCGUCAGGUAGAGAAGAUCCCGUGCCCACGGGCCGUUCCCGCCGCUGUCCGACGUCUCGGAGUUGCCAGAGUCGCCGUCGCCAUAUGAAGACGAGUCGGCGGGGAGAUGCUGGUGUUGGGAUUCGGGAGGGUCCAAUCUGCAGCAAAUCCUUGGGAGAUAUGACGGUGUAUUUUGGAAUGCUCGACGGCUUGCUGGCUGCAGAAGAGCUUCCUGAGGUGUAUUUUGGAAUAUACCGGAACCGAUGCCAGGAUAUACUCUGUAACGACUGCGGAAAAAAGGGCUUUCUUGGUUCCACUGGCUGUAUCACAAAUGCGCCGCCUGUGGCUCGUACUACACCAGAGUUAUCAAGACCGAGGCACCAGAUUGUUCCAUGUCGAAUUAACAGGUCCGCCGACGAGGAUGUGGAUGAGGACGAGGUCGAGCCCCUUCCCGGCGCGAUCUCCUUUUGGAGGCUAUUCAACUUCGCCGACGGCCUCGACUAGGCACUCAUGGCCGCUGGCACAGUUGCCGCCGCCGCCCACGAUGCAGCAUUCGUAGUCUACAUGCACUAAUGGUCCUUGAAUUUUCUCGACUGUGAGCGGAUUUAGUCUGCUCUCCACGGUCGUAGCGACGAGCCCCUCAACCAAUUUAAGCAGGUAAACCGUUGCUUCACAUGCUCGUCUCUUAAUUGCACGCUUGACAGGGCCUGCAACGUGAUAUUUAUUGCCUGACCCCCGAAGGUAAAUUCAACAACAAAUGUGUUUAGGAUCCACUUUAUUUCUGCAAGUUGAAGAAGUAAAGAUAUGCAUGCUGUGUUCUACUCUAUGGCCCACCAGGAACCGGGAAGACAGUAUUAGCAAGGGCUCUCGCCAGUAACAUCGAUGCUAACUUUUGGAGGUGUUGUUUUUACUUGAUUGAUGGUACUUGGUAUUUUCAUUAUGCGAGUAUUACAUUACACUGACGUAUUGUCUAAAACCAGAUUCUGUCAAGUGCUAUAAUUGACAAAUAUAUUGGAGAAAGUGCUCGUUUAAUCAGAUAAAUGUUCAGCUAUGCACGCGAUCACCGCAUAAGUUUUGCUCCGGCUUUCUUUUUGCAAAGUUAAUUGGUCUUAAGCUUAAUUCCCUUAUUAUCUGUAAGACACACAUGGUGGCAGAUGGUUAUGCAUCUACUGUUGCUGAGAUGCAAGCUAUGACUUGAUAGUUCCCUUGACUGAGAUGUUGUGCCAUCUAAAUAUAUUCCGGUCCAACACUAUAAAAUUUUAAACUUCAGAUCUCAGUAUCAGUUUUGCCCAACAAGAAGAAAUCAAACUGAUCUGAAUAUAAGUACAAGUGCAUUUCUUAGAUCUUUAAACUUAUAUCACCAUUUAGUUUAUUUAUGCUGCCCACAAAUUUUGUUUCAUCUUCUUCAAAUUAUUAUUUCUAGCCAUGCAUUAUCUUCAUGGAUUAAAUCGAUGCAAUUGGUAGGACAUGAUUUAGUGAGGAACCAGUAACGACCGUGAGAUCCAGCGCACGGUGAUGGAGCUUCUUAAUCAGUUAGAUGGAUUUCAUGAGCUUGGCAAGAUCUGCUUGCUCUGCAUGGAGCGAGAGCAUAGUCUGAAGAACUUCUCUGAUGAAGGUGAUGGGCUUCAAAAAAUUCUGCUAUAACUGUGGUGAAUCUGCCGUUUGAAAUUACAGGGCCAUGGACUCCAAUUUGCAGUGACGAAGUUUAUAUCAUGUUUGUGCUCAGUCUGUUAUUUCCCUUUAUCAAACACAUGGAUCUACAGCACACUAAUGGCAAGUUUGGAUUCACGGCGUUUGCGGCAUCCGCACUUUAACUUCUUGCUGGAUUUGGUGGGCAACGAUGUCAUUUGAUGUAGAACUGAGCUUGAACGCCGAUGCUGCCUCUGCCUGCUCAAGACACUGGCAAAGUCGCGUGGCCGAAGGCAGUCCCAACAGGUGGCUGCACUACGACAAGCGGGAAUGGCGAUGACCGCUACAUCUUCCGCGGCUACCGUGAGAGGUUGUGGGCUGCGUCGAGGGCUCUACUGCGAUGGCGAUCUGAUGAUGAAGCAGAUGAGGAGCUGCUCGAGCAGGCGAUGAUGAAGGCGAGCAUCGGCACGAUGGGGUUGGCGGAGCGUGCAGAUGAAGCUGCAGCGGCAAGUCUCGUGGCUGAAAUACAACGACAUAGAGUGGAGCAUCUGGUAGAUACAUCGUCUUUAGAUUGCUUGUUUAUUUGCUGAGUUUGAUUCACUUUUGGACAACCAUCGCAUGUAAUGCAUCUUCUAACCAGGUAUAUAACCUGCUGCCACCCCCUAAGAUUAAUAUACUUCCACCUCUAAUGGAUUUUGCCUGUAUUACUGUCAUUAAUUCAAGUAUGUGUCCAC